CCUACGGGGGGCAGCAGUGAGGAAUAUUGGUCAAUGGGCGCGAGCCUGAACCAGCCAAGUAGCGUGAAGGAUGACGGCCCUACGGGUUGUAAACUUCUUUUAUAAGGGAAUAAAGUGAGGCACGUGUGCCUUUUUGUAUGUACUUUAUGAAUAAGGAUCGGCUAACUCCGUGCCAGCAGCCGCGGUAAUACGGAGGAUCCGAGCGUUCUCCGGAUUUAUUGGGUUUAAAGGGAGCGUAGGUGGAUUGUUAAGUCAGUCGUGAAAGUCUGGGGCUCAACCGUCGAACUGCAGUUGAAACUGGCAGUCUUGAGUACAGUAGAGGUAGGCGGAAUUCGUGGUGUAGCGGUGAAAUGCUUAGAUAUCACGAAGAACUCCGAUCGCGAAGGCAGCUUACUGGAGUGCAACUGACGCUGAUGCACGAAAGUGUGGGUAUCAAACAGGAUUAGAUACCCCAGUAGUC
Molecule: ribosomal RNA, 460 nt
Filed under: uncultured bacterium
Lineage: Bacteria
Description: partial 16S ribosomal RNA
Rfam family: Bacterial small subunit ribosomal RNA
Source: RNAcentral